Molecule: ribosomal RNA, 512 nt
Filed under: uncultured bacterium
Lineage: Bacteria
Description: bacterial SSU rRNA
Rfam family: Bacterial small subunit ribosomal RNA
Source: RNAcentral
AGAGUUUGAUUAUGGCUCAGGAUGAACGCUGGCGGCGUGCUUAACACAUGCAAGUCGAACGAAGCAACUUAUCACGAUCCCUUCGGGGUGACGAUUUGUUGACUGAGUGGCGGACGGGUGAGUAACGCGUGGGUAACCUGCCUUGUACAGGGGGACAACAGUUGGAAACGACUGCUAAUACCGCAUAAGCGCACAGCUUCGCAUGAAGUAGUGUGAAAAGAUUUUUCGGUACAAGAUGGACCCGCGUCUGAUUAGCUAGUUGGUGAGGUAACGGCCCACCAAGGCGACGAUCAGUAGCCGACCUGAGAGGGUGACCGGCCACAUUGGGACUGAGACACGGCCCAAACUCCUACGGGAGGCAGCAGUGGGGAAUAUUGCACAAUGGGCGAAAGCCUGAUGCAAGCGACGCCGCGUGAGCGAAGAAGUAUUUCGGUAUGUAAAGCUCUAUCAGCAGGGAAGAUAAUGACGGUACCUGACUAAGAAGCACCGGCUAAAUACGUGCCAGCCGCCGC